RNAcentral lists this ribosomal RNA (254 nucleotides) under uncultured bacterium. RNAcentral describes it as "partial 16S ribosomal RNA". It matches the Rfam family "Bacterial small subunit ribosomal RNA", at positions 524 to 776 of the family's 1533-position model. The record is from RNAcentral.
UACGUAGGGUGCGAGCGUUGUCCGGAAUUAUUGGGCGUAAAGAGCUCGUAGGCGGUGUGUCGCGUCGGUCGUGAAAACUUGGGGCUUAACCCUGAGCUUGCGGUCGAUACGGGCAUCACUGGAGUUCGGCAGGGGAGACUGGAAUUCCUGGUGUAGCGGUGAAAUGCGCAGAUAUCAGGAGGAACACCGGUGGCGAAGGCGGGUCUCUGGGCCGAUACUGACGCUGAGGAGCGAAAGCAUGGGGAGCGAACAGG